RNAcentral lists this ribosomal RNA (475 nucleotides) under uncultured bacterium. RNAcentral describes it as "SSU rRNA". It matches the Rfam family "Bacterial small subunit ribosomal RNA", at positions 26 to 518 of the family's 1533-position model. The record is from RNAcentral.
AGGACGAACGCUGGCGGCGUGCUUAACACAUGCAAGUCGAGCGGAAAGGCCCUUCGGGGUACUCGAGCGGCGAACGGGUGAGUAACACGUGAGUAAUCUGCCCCUAGCUCUGGGAUAGCUCCGGGAAACCGGGAUUAAUACCAGAUACGACCACUUUAGACAUCUGUUGUGGUGGAAAGAAUUUUGGCUAGGGAUGAGCUCGCGGCCUAUCAGCUUGUUGGUGAGGUAACGGCUCACCAAGGCGACGACGGGUAGCCGGCCUGAGAGGGCGACCGUCCACACUGGGACUGAGACACGGCCCCAGACUCCUACGGGAGGCAGCAGUGGGGAAUAUUGCGCAAUGGGCGAAAGCCUGACGCAGCGACGCCGCGUGGGGGAUGAAGGCCUUCGGGUUGUAAACCCCUUUCAGCAGGGACGAAGCGAAAGUGACGGUACCUGCAGAAGAAGCGCCGGCUAACUACGUGCCAGCAGCCGC